This 431-nucleotide ribosomal RNA is filed under the name uncultured bacterium. RNAcentral describes it as "partial 16S ribosomal RNA". It matches the Rfam family "Bacterial small subunit ribosomal RNA", at positions 29 to 507 of the family's 1533-position model. The record is from RNAcentral.
AACGAACGCUGGCGGCAGGCUUAACACAUGCAAGUCGAGCGCCCCGCAAGGGGAGCGGCAGACGGGUGAGUAACGCGUGGGAACGUACCUUUUGGUUCGGAACAACUCCGGGAAACUGGAGCUAAUACCGGAUAAGCCCUAACGGGGCAAGAUUUAUCGCCGAAAGAUCGGCCCGCGUCUGAUUAGCUAGUUGGUGAGGUAACGGCGCACCAAGGCGACGAUCAGUAGCUGGUCUGAGAGGAUGAUCAGCCACACUGGGACUGAGACACGGCCCAGACUCCUACGGGAGGCAGCAGUGGGGAAUAUUGGACAAUGGGCGCAAGCCUGAUCCAGCCAUGCCGCGUAAGUGAUGAAGGCCUUAGGGUUGUAAAGCUCUUUUGUCCGGGAAGAUAAUGACGGUACCGGAAGAAUAAGCCCCGGCUAACUUCGUG